Molecule: ribosomal RNA, 496 nt
Filed under: uncultured bacterium
Lineage: Bacteria
Description: partial 16S ribosomal RNA
Rfam family: Bacterial small subunit ribosomal RNA
Source: RNAcentral
AUGAACGCUGGCGGCGUGCCUAAUACAUGCAAGUCGAGCGAACAGAUAAGGAGCUUGCUCCUUUGACGUUAGCGGCGGACGGGUGAGUAACACGUGGGUAACCUACCUAUAAGACUGGGAUAACUUCGGGAAACCGGAGCAAAUACCGGAUAACAUUUGGAACCGCAUGGUUCUAAAGUGAAAGAUGGUUUUGCUAUCACUUAUAGAUGGACCCGCGCCGUAUUAGCUAGUUGGUAAGGUAACGGCUUACCAAGGCGACGAUACGUAGCCGACCUGAGAGGGUGAUCGGCCACACUGGAACUGGGACACGGUCCAGACUCCUACGGGAGGCAGCAGUAGGGAAUCUUCCGCAAUAGGCGAAAGCCUGACGGAGCAACGCCGCGUGAGUGAUGAAGGGUUUCGGCUCGUAAAACUCUGUUAUUAGGGAAGAACAAAUGUGUAAGUAACUGUGCACGUCUUGACGGUACCUAAUCAGAAAGCCACGGCUAACUACGUG